Molecule: ribosomal RNA, 794 nt
Filed under: uncultured soil archaeon
Lineage: Archaea
Description: bacterial SSU rRNA
Rfam family: Archaeal small subunit ribosomal RNA
Source: RNAcentral
CGUGGCGCACAGCUCAGUAACACGUGGCUAACCUACCCUUGGGACGGAAACACCCCGGGAAACUGGGGCUAAUUUCCGAUAGGUGAAGACUCCUGGAAUGGAUUUUCGCCUAAAGGGCGUUUAGAGCAUGCUUCUAGGCGUUGCCCAAGGAUGGGGCCGCGGCCGAUCAGGUUGUUGGUGAGGUAAUGGCCCACCAAGCCUUUAACCGGUACGGGCCGUGGGAGCGGUAGCCCGGAGAUGGGCACUGAGACAAGGGCCCAGGCCCUACGGGGCGCAGCAGUCGCGAAAACUUCGCAAUAAGCGAAAGCUUGACGGGGCCAUCCCGAGUGCCAUCUGCUGAGGAUGGCUUUUACCCAGUAUAGAUAGCUGGGAGAAUAAGGAGAGGGCAAGUCUGGUGUCAGCCGCCGCGGUAAUACCAGCUCUCCGAGUUGUAGGGAUGUUUAUUGGGCCUAAAGCAUCCGUAGCCGGCUGGACAAGUCCUCUGUUAAAUCCAGCGACCAAUCGUUGGUCUGCGGGGGAUACUGUCCGGCUAGGGGGCGGGAGAGGCCGUCGGUAUUCCUGGGGUAGGGGUGAAAUCCUAUAAUCCCAGGAGGACCACCAGUGGCGAAGGCUGUCGGCUAGAACGCGCCCGACGGUGAGGGAUGAAAGCUGGGGGAGCGAACCGGAUUAGAUACCCGGGUAGUCCCAGCUGUAAACGAUGCAGGCUAGGUGUUAGGGCGGCUACGUGCCGCUCUAGUGCCGCAGGGAAGCUGUUAAGCCUGCCGCCUGGGGAGUACGCCGCGAGGCUGAAUUUA